UGAUCCGAUGAGCUGGUGGCCAUGAUC
RNAcentral lists this non-coding RNA (27 nucleotides) under Homo sapiens (human). The record is from RNAcentral. Lineage: Eukaryota; Metazoa; Chordata; Mammalia; Primates; Hominidae.